RNAcentral lists this ribosomal RNA (183 nucleotides) under uncultured rumen bacterium. RNAcentral describes it as "partial 16S ribosomal RNA". It matches the Rfam family "Bacterial small subunit ribosomal RNA", at positions 340 to 518 of the family's 1533-position model. The record is from RNAcentral.
UACGGGAGGCAGCAGUGAGGAAUAUUGGUCAAUGGUCGAGAGACUGAACCAGCCAAGUAGCGUGCAGGAUGACGGCCCUAUGGGUUGUAAACUGCUUUUAUGCGGGGAUAAAGUGCGGCACGUGUGCCGUUUUGUAGGUACCGCAUGAAUAAGGACCGGCUAAUUCCGUGCCUUGACAGCCGC